Molecule: ribosomal RNA, 492 nt
Filed under: uncultured bacterium
Lineage: Bacteria
Description: partial 16S ribosomal RNA
Rfam family: Bacterial small subunit ribosomal RNA
Source: RNAcentral
AGUGAACGCUGGCGGUAGGCCUAACACAUGCAAGUCGAACGGCAGCACAGUAAGAGCUUGCUCUUACGGGUGGCGAGUGGCGGACGGGUGAGGAAUACAUCGGAAUCUACUUUUUCGUGGGGGAUAACGUAGGGAAACUUACGCUAAUACCGCAUACGACCUACGGGUGAAAGCAGGGGAUCUUCGGACCUUGCGCGAUUGAAUGAGCCGAUGUCGGAUUAGCUAGUUGGCGGGGUAAAGGCCCACCAAGGCGACGAUCCGUAGCUGGUCUGAGAGGAUGAUCAGCCACACUGGAACUGAGACGCGAUCCAGACUCCUACGGGAGGCAGCAGUGGGGAAUAUUGGACAAUGGGCGCAAGCCUGAUCCAGCCAUACCGCGUGGGUGAAGAAGGCCUUCGGGUUGUAAAGCCCUUUUGUUGGGAAAGAAAAGCAGCAGGUUAAUACCCCGCUGUUCUGACGGUACCCAAAGAAUAAGCACCGGCUAACUUCGUG